Molecule: ribosomal RNA, 498 nt
Filed under: uncultured bacterium
Lineage: Bacteria
Description: bacterial SSU rRNA
Rfam family: Bacterial small subunit ribosomal RNA
Source: RNAcentral
GAUGAACGCUAGCGGCAGGCUUAACACAUGCAAGUCGAGGGGCAGCGUGAGGGUUAGCAAUAACCCUUGACGGCGACCGGCGCAAGGGUGCGUAACGCGUGAGCAACUUGCCCUUAUCAGGGGGAUAACCGGUGGAAACGCCGACUAAUACCCCAUGGCAUCACAAUGAGGCAUCUUUUUGUGAUUAAAGAAAUUCGGAUAAGGAUAGGCUCGCGUGACAUUAGCUAGACGGCGGGGUAACGGCCCACCGUGGCGACGAUGUCUAGGGGUUCUGAGAGGAAGGUCCCCCACACUGGAACUGAGACACGGUCCAGACUCCUACGGGAGGCAGCAGUGAGGAAUAUUGGUCAAUGGUCUGACGACUGAACCAGCCAUGCCGCGUGAAGGUCACGGCCCUAUGGGUCUUAAACUUCUUUUGCGAGGGAGCAAUAAGGUCUACGUGUAGUCCGAUGAGAGUACCUCGCGAAUAAGCAUCGGCUAACUCCGUGCCAGCAGCCG